GAAAACAGUUUCGUACAUGGUCAAGACUUGAGGUGUUCACAUUUAUCAUCCACACAAACGAUAUGCAUUCUACAAAGUCACCGUACAUAGCAGUGAAUAGAGGCAACUCCCCUCCAAUAGAAACUGCUGACUAUCACCCAGUGCAGAUAUACACGCACAGUCGUCACACCGGAGUCGUGACGACCCAACCCGGAGCUGUUGUUGCCAAUGAAGCAGAGGAUCCCCCAGAUUACCUUUCGCUGGCAGCUUGCUCGGCCUGUUUCUGUUAGGUGUUAGGAAUUCUCGCAGUUAGUUAUUCCUUCAAGUCUAAAAAAUAUGCGAUGAGAGGGGACUAUGCAAGAGCUUCAGAGUCGGGCAAGUCAGCGAGAAUCACUGCAGUCGCGGCGAUUGUGAUUGGAUUGGUACUUACUGUCAUCAUGGUUGCGUUGAAACUCAUGCAGCAUUCGAAUUGUUCUCCUAAUUGUUAGACCCGUUGAUUGUUAAUUGGACAUAUUUGUUCCUUGUCCGUAACCAACAUCUUUGCCGUUUGACAAAUGUAAAAUUAUCAACGUAAAAUAAAAUAAAUAUUUCUUUAUCAGGCUGAAGUGAUGAUUUUGUUUCUUUGGAACUUGCAACAUGUUACUUCAAAAUGCUGUGUAUGCUUGACU
This 647-nucleotide long non-coding RNA is filed under the name Haliotis rufescens (red abalone). Its description in RNAcentral is "uncharacterized LOC124139684, transcript variant X2". The record is from RNAcentral. Lineage: Eukaryota; Metazoa; Mollusca; Gastropoda; Lepetellida; Haliotidae.